This 253-nucleotide ribosomal RNA is filed under the name uncultured bacterium. RNAcentral's name for it is "partial 16S ribosomal RNA". It matches the Rfam family "Bacterial small subunit ribosomal RNA", at positions 524 to 776 of the family's 1533-position model. The record is from RNAcentral.
UACGUAGGGUGCGAGCGUUGUCCGGAAUUAUUGGGCGUAAAGAGCUCGUAGGCGGUCUGUCGCGUCGGAUGUGAAAACACGGGGCUCAACCCCGUGCCUGCAUUCGAUACGGGCAGACUAGAGUUCGGUAGGGGAGACUGGAAUUCCUGGUGUAGCGGUGAAAUGCGCAGAUAUCAGGAGGAACACCGAUGGCGAAGGCAGGUCUCUGGGCCACUACUGACGCUGAGAAGCGAAAGCGUGGGGAGCGAACAGG